AGCAGAAACAGCAGGUUCACCCCACAGCACCAGCAGACCUGCCUGCAUUCUGACACACACAAGUUCCUGUGGCAGGAACGUGCCCCUGGUCAGCCAUUCUUGGCCUUCUCAGCAUCCCAGCCAAGGGCAUAGUAGCCCUCAGCCUCUCCGUCUCGAGUCUCCGGUGACAGUUCUGCCUUGGCCUGCUUUCCCUCCAGCCUGAGCCUUCACGGGAUUAUAAACGAACUGCUUGCUGUUUCCCGUAGCCACCUUCACCGUCACACUCUGGCUUCCAGCAGCAGACCCUUCUUUAGGCCUUCACAGGCAGGAGUUUCUGUUCUACUGGAACCAAGUGCAACCGCCUUUGCCACCCCUCAAUGAUGCUCUCGUUGAUGGCCCAUGUUAUGCCUCACUACUGGCCAGCGAGUGACCACCUCUGGAUCAAAAUGCCCAUCAGACACCACACUCCUUGAUUCUCACCACUCGUGUGGUCCAGCCACUACCCCAAACUAGCAAACUAGAAACAAGCGUGGGAUGCAGAUACUUUGGAGAACCAGACAACCCAGGAGUCACUCAGUCAGAUAGCAGGCAAUGGUGGAUAGGCAGAGUUCUCUGGCGAGAUGGGUGUGUGAAAGCCAUGGGGAGCUGAGAUAAGGCUAGUGGCCUCUACACACCGAGGCUCUACCUGCCAGGAGGGCAUCAGCAGCAGAGGCUGCCGCUGUUGAUUAACAUCCUGGAUUCAAAAGGCCUCCAAAUAAUAGGACAUGUUUGUGUGUGAGUCUGUAACGUCAGUAUAUGAGAGGUGGGUGCAGGAGAACCACAACUUUGGGGCUAGCUCUGGUUGCAUAGCAAGACAGGGUCUCAAAAGAGAAAAAGGCAAAAAGAAAUUUCCAAGUAGAUACUGGCUAGCAAAUAAGGAAGUCUUCAUGUCAUGGCUCCCUGUGGAGGAUAGGGUGAGUCAGCACCAUUAAAAUGUCAUUCUCUCUGA
Molecule: long non-coding RNA, 967 nt
Organism: Myodes glareolus (Bank vole)
Lineage: Eukaryota; Metazoa; Chordata; Mammalia; Rodentia; Cricetidae
Source: RefSeq, a predicted model, not a curated record